UCGUCGACCUGCUGCGGACAAAUGAAAUGAAUGUGCGCGUCGAUGCCGCCGGCGGUCAGUAUCUGCCCUUCCCCUGCAAUGAUCUCGGUGCCGGGCCCGAUGAUGAUGUCGACACCUUCUUGCACGUCGGGAUUACCGGCCUUCCCGAUCGCGGCGAUACGGCCAUUUUUGAUGCCGACGUCGGCCUUGACGAUGCCCCAAUGAUCGACGAUCAAUGCAUUCGUAAUCACCAGAUCCAUCGCGGUUUGCGAGCCGGCCUGACUCUGUCCCAUGCCGUCGCGA
Molecule: small RNA, 282 nt
Filed under: Methylotuvimicrobium alcaliphilum 20Z
Lineage: Bacteria; Pseudomonadati; Pseudomonadota; Gammaproteobacteria; Methylococcales; Methylococcaceae
Description: Methylomicrobium alcaliphilum 20Z 5' ureB small RNA
Rfam family: 5' ureB small RNA
Source: Rfam by way of RNAcentral